RNAcentral lists this ribosomal RNA (206 nucleotides) under uncultured bacterium. RNAcentral describes it as "partial 16S ribosomal RNA". It matches the Rfam family "Bacterial small subunit ribosomal RNA", at positions 568 to 774 of the family's 1533-position model. The record is from RNAcentral.
UGUGUAGACGGCAUGUUAAGUCCGCUGUUAGAUUUCCCGGCCUAACUGGGAGCCAGCGGUGGAUACUGGCGUGCUAGAGGAUGGAAGAGAGAAGUGGAAUUCCCGGAGUAGCGGUAAAAUGCGUAGAUCUCGGGAGGAACACCAAUGGCGAAGGCAGCUUCUUGGUCCAUAUCUGACGUUGAGACACGAAAGCGUGGGAGCAAACA